Molecule: ribosomal RNA, 2821 nt
Filed under: Flagellimonas meridianipacifica
Lineage: Bacteria; Pseudomonadati; Bacteroidota; Flavobacteriia; Flavobacteriales; Flavobacteriaceae
Description: bacterial LSU rRNA
Rfam family: Bacterial large subunit ribosomal RNA
Source: RNAcentral
GCGACAAGCAAAAGAAGGGCGUAUGGGGGAUGCCUAGGCUCCCAGAGGCGACGAAGGACGUGAUAAGCUGCGAAAAACCGCGGGGAGCUGCACAUGAGCAUUGAUCCGCGGGUGUCCGAAUGGGGCAACCCGGCAUACUGAAGGUAUGUCACCCGAGAGGGGGCUAACCCGCUGAACUGAAACAUCUAAGUAGGCGGAGGAAGAGAAAACAAGAGUGAUUCCGUGAGUAGUGGCGAGCGAAAGCGGAACAGCCCAAACCAAUGUUGUUUCGGCAAUGUUGGGGUUGUAGGACUGUAAUGUUCGAUGCAAAGUGAAGUGGAAGUGUUUGGAAAGACACACCAUAGAAAGUGAUAGUCUUGUACACGCAAGCGAUGUUAUCGAUAACAGUAUCCUGAGUAGCGCGGGGCACGUGAAACCCUGUGUGAAUCCGGCGGGACCAUCCGCCAAGGCUAAAUACUCCUGGGAGACCGAUAGUGAACCAGUACCGUGAGGGAAAGGUGAAAAGAACCCUGAACAAGGGAGUGAAAAAGACCCUGAAACCAUACGCCUACAAGCGGUCGGAGCAUGUUUACAUGUGACGGCGUGCCUUUUGCAUAAUGAGCCUACGAGUUACUUUUACUGGCAAGGUUAAGCACUUAUGGUGCGGAUCCGCAGCGAAAGCGAGUCUGAACAGGGCGCCCAUAGUCAGUAGUAGUAGACGCGAAACCGUGCGAUCUACCCAUGGGCAGGUUGAAGCUGUGGUAACACACAGUGGAGGACCGAACCCGUUGACGUUGAAAAGUCUUGGGAUGACCUGUGGGUAGGGGUGAAAGGCCAAUCAAGCUCGGAAAUAGCUCGUACUCCCCGAAAUGCAUUUAGGUGCAGCGUGUUAUUAGUUUCAUAGAGGUAGAGCUACUGAUUGGAUGCGGGGGCUUCACCGCCUACCAAUUCCUGACAAACUCCGAAUGCUAUGAAAUGAUGUAACGCAGUGAGGGCAUGGGUGCUAAGGUCCAUGUCCGAGAGGGAAAGAACCCGGACCAUCGGCUAAGGUCCCCAAAUAUGUGCUAAGUUGACAAAACGCGGUGGAACUGCACAGACAGCCAGGAUGUUGGCUUGGAAGCAGCCAUUCAUUUAAAGAGUGCGUAACAGCUCACUGGUCGAGCGGUUCCGCAUGGAUAAUGAUCGGGCAUAAGCACAUUACCGAAGCCAUGGCCUUGUAUUUAUACAAGGGGUAGGGGAGCAUUCCAUUCUGCGUUGAAGCGGUCCUGCGAGGUACCGUGGAGCGUAUGGAAACGAAAAUGUAGGCAUAAGUAACGAUAAGACAGGCGAGAAACCUGUCCGCCGAAAGACCAAGGUUUCCCCGGCCAUGCUAAUCAGCCGGGGGUCAGUCGGGACCUAACACGAACCCGAAAGGGGCAGUGGAUGGACAAGCGGUUAAUAUUCCGCUACCCGCAAUGCGACAAAAGUGACGGGGCACCGGGGUCGGUGCGCACUGACGGAAUAGUGCGUUGAACCUUCGGGGAUAGUACACCAAGGCCACGGCCGCGGUGAUAAUCCGGCGAAGGUGCCUCCAAGAAAAGCGAGCAUUGCGGCCCGUACCGUAAACCGACACAGGUGGUCGGGAUGAGUAUUCUAAGGCGCUCGAGAGAUUCAUGGUUAAGGAACUAGGCAAAAUGGACGCGUAACUUCGGGAGAAGCGUCGCUCCCCUCUGGGGGAGCCGCAGUGAAUGGGCCCAGGCGACUGUUUAUCAAAAACACAGGGCUAUGCCAAAUCGAAAGAUGACGUAUAUGGCCUGACACCUGCCCGGUGCCGGAAGGUUAAAGGGAGAUGUUAUCCGCAAGGUGAAGCAUUGAACUGAAGCCCCGGUAAACGGCGGCCGUAACUAUAACGGUCCUAAGGUAGCGAAAUUCCUUGUCGGGUAAGUUCCGACCUGCACGAAUGGUGCAACGAUCUGGGCACUGUCUCAACCAUGAUCUCGGUGAAAUUGUAGUAUCGGUGAAGAUGCCGGUUACCCGCAGUGGGACGAAAAGACCCCGUGCACCUUUACUAUAGCUUCGUAUUGACCCUGGGCAAGGGAUGUGUAGGAUAGCUGGGAGGCUUUGAAUCUGUGUCGCCAGGCAUGGAGGAGCCGUUGUUGAAAUACCAGCCUUCGUUUGUCCGGGGCCUAACCUCGCGAGAGGGACAGUGCGUGGUGGGUAGUUUGACUGGGGUGGUCGCCUCCAAAAGAGUAACGGAGGCUUCUAAAGGUGCCCUCAACACGGUUGGCAAUCGUGUGCAGAGUGCAAUGGCACAAGGGCGCUUGACUGUGAGACAUACAGGUCGAACAGGUAGGAAACUAGAGCAUAGUGAUCCGGUGGUUCCGCAUGGAAGGGCCAUCGCUCAAAGGAUAAAAGGUACGCCGGGGAUAACAGGCUGAUCUCCCCCAAGAGCUCACAUCGACGGGGGGGUUUGGCACCUCGAUGUCGGCUCGUCACAUCCUGGGGCUGGAGAAGGUCCCAAGGGUUGGGCUGUUCGCCCAUUAAAGUGGCACGCGAGCUGGGUUCAGAACGUCGUGAGACAGUUCGGUCUCUAUCUACUGCGGGCGUUAGAUAUUUGAGUGGACCUGGUCCUAGUACGAGAGGACCGGACUGGACCGACCGCUGGUGCACCGGUUGUCCCGCCAGGGGCAUUGCCGGGUAGCUAAGUCGGGAUGGGAUAAGCGCUGAAAGCAUAUAAGCGCGAAACCCGCCACAAGAUGAGAUAUCUUUAAAGGACCGUGGGAGAUGACCACGUUGAUAGGCCGUAGGUGGAAGUGCAGCGAUGCAUGCAGCCGAGCGGUACUAAUUGUCCGUAAGCUUGCGC